This 72-nucleotide transfer RNA is filed under the name Marmota monax (woodchuck). It matches the Rfam family "tRNA". Rfam says of the family: Transfer RNA (tRNA) molecules are approximately 80 nucleotides in length. Their secondary structure includes four short double-helical elements and three loops (D, anti-codon, and T loops). Lineage: Eukaryota; Metazoa; Chordata; Mammalia; Rodentia; Sciuridae. The record is from Rfam by way of RNAcentral.
UGGGUUGUAGCUCAGUGGUAGAGCACUCACUUGGCAUGUGUGAGGCACUGGGUUUGAUCCUCAGCACCACAU